RNAcentral lists this ribosomal RNA (445 nucleotides) under uncultured bacterium. RNAcentral describes it as "bacterial SSU rRNA". It matches the Rfam family "Bacterial small subunit ribosomal RNA", at positions 28 to 520 of the family's 1533-position model. The record is from RNAcentral.
GGUGAACGUUGGCGGCGCGUCUAAUACAUGCAAGUCGAGCGAGGCUUCGAGCCGAGCGGCGGACGGCUGAGUAACACGUUGGUAGCUACCCCGUACUCAGGGAUAACACUGAGAAAUCAGUGCUAAUACCGGAUGGUCCCGAAAGGGUAAAGAUUUAUCGGUACGGGAGGUGCCUGCGGCCUAUCAGCUAGUUGGUGAGGUAAUGGCUCACCAAGGCUAUGACGGGUAACUGGUCUGAGAGGACGACCAGUCAGAGGGAAACUGAGACACGGUUCCCACUCCUACGGGAGGCAGCAGUAAAGAAUCUUCCGCAAUGGACGCAAGUCUGACGGAGCGACGCCGCGUGCAGGAUGAAGGCCUUCGGGUCGUAAACUGCUUUCUGAGGGAAUAAUUCUGAAUGUACCUCAGGAAUAAGCACCGGCAAAUCACGUGCCAGCAGCCGCGG